Molecule: ribosomal RNA, 450 nt
Filed under: uncultured bacterium
Lineage: Bacteria
Description: partial 16S ribosomal RNA
Rfam family: Bacterial small subunit ribosomal RNA
Source: RNAcentral
GUGGGGAAUAUUGGACAAUGGGCGAAAGCCUGAUCCAGCCAUGCCGCGUGUGUGAAGAAGGUCUUCGGAUUGUAAAGCACUUUAAGUUGGGAGGAAGGGCAGUAAGUUAAUACCUUGCUGUUUUGACGUUACCGACAGAAUAAGCACCGGCUAACUUCGUGCCAGCAGCCGCGGUAAUACGAAGGGUGCAAGCGUUAAUCGGAAUUACUGGGCGUAAAGCGCGCGUAGGUGGUUUUGUAAGUUGGAGGUGAAAUCCCCGGGCUCAACCUGGGAACUGCCUCCAAAACUGCAUGACUAGAGUACGGUAGAGGGUAGUGGAAUUUCCUGUGUAGCGGUGAAAUGCGUAGAGAUCGGGAGGAACAUCCGUGGCGAAGGCGGCCAUCUGGACCAGCACUGACACUGAGGCACGAAAGCGUGGGGAGCAAACAGGAUUAGAAACCCGAGUAGUCC